GACGAACGCUGGCGGCGUGCUUAACACAUGCAAGUCGAACGGUAAGGCCCUGCCUUUGUGGGGUGCUCGAGUGGCGAACGGGUGAGUAACACGUGAGUAACCUGCCCCUGACUUUGGGAUAACUUCUGGAAACGGGGGCUAAUACCGGAUAGGAGCUCCUGCUGCAUGGUGGGUGUUGGAAAGUUUCGGCGGUUGGGGAUGGACUCGCGGCUUAUCAGCUUGUUGGUGGGGUAGUGGCUUACCAAGGCGUUGACGGGUAGCCGGCCUGAGAGGGUGACCGGCCACAUUGGGACUGAGAUACGGCCCAGACUCCUACGGGAGGCAGCAGUGGGGAAUAUUGCACAAUGGGCGGAAGCCUGAUGCAGCAACGCCGCGUGCGGGAUGACGGCCUUCGGGUUGUAAACCGCUUUCGCCUGUGACGAAGCGUGAGUGACGGUAAUGGGUAAAGAAGCACCGGCUAACUACGUG
This 468-nucleotide ribosomal RNA is filed under the name uncultured bacterium. RNAcentral describes it as "partial 16S ribosomal RNA". It matches the Rfam family "Bacterial small subunit ribosomal RNA", at positions 28 to 507 of the family's 1533-position model. The record is from RNAcentral.